GCUGGGCACGGUGGUGCACGCUUGUAAUACCAGCAGCUCAGGAGGCUGAGGCAGGAGGAUCAUGAGUUCAAAGCCAGCCUCAGCAAAAGAAAGGCGCUAAGCAACUCCGUGAGAUCCUGUCUCUA
Molecule: small RNA, 125 nt
Filed under: Marmota monax (woodchuck)
Lineage: Eukaryota; Metazoa; Chordata; Mammalia; Rodentia; Sciuridae
Source: RNAcentral